RNAcentral lists this ribosomal RNA (467 nucleotides) under uncultured bacterium. RNAcentral describes it as "bacterial SSU rRNA". It matches the Rfam family "Bacterial small subunit ribosomal RNA", at positions 61 to 527 of the family's 1533-position model. The record is from RNAcentral.
GUCGAGCGCGAAGUACUUCGGUACGAGUAGAGCGGCGGACGGGUGAGUAACGCGUAGGAAUCUACCCAGUAGUGGGGGACAACUCGGGGAAACUCGAGCUAAUACCGCAUACGCCCUAAGGGGGAAAGCGGGGGAUCUUCGGACCUCGCGCUAUUGGAAGAGCCUGCGUUGGAUUAGCUAGUUGGUGGGGUAAAGGCCUACCAAGGCGACGAUCCAUAGCUGGUCUGAGAGGAUGAUCAGCCACACCGGGACUGAGACACGGCCCGGACUCCUACGGGAGGCAGCAGUGGGGAAUAUUGCGCAAUGGGGGCAACCCUGACGCAGCCAUGCCGCGUGUGUGAAGAAGGCCUUCGGGUUGUAAAGCACUUUCACUUGGGAAGAAAGAUUCGUAGCUAAUACCUGCGAGUUGUGACAUUACCUUGAGAAGAAGCACCGGCUAACUCCGUGCCAGCAGCCGCGGUAAUACG